Molecule: non-coding RNA, 30 nt
Filed under: Rattus norvegicus (Norway rat)
Lineage: Eukaryota; Metazoa; Chordata; Mammalia; Rodentia; Muridae
Source: RNAcentral
UGCAAGGAGACAUGCUCUCAUGUGUGCUGC